RNAcentral lists this long non-coding RNA (214 nucleotides) under Oryza brachyantha (malo sina). Its description in RNAcentral is "long non-coding RNA (OBRA_LNC002910)". The record is from RNAcentral. Lineage: Eukaryota; Viridiplantae; Streptophyta; Magnoliopsida; Poales; Poaceae.
UGGGUUAAUGCUAAUUGCUAAAUUUAUCUACUAGGCUUCACUAGUACAGAUCCUCCUAUUUGUGACGGCCUCUCACAUAACUGGGUUAAUACCCGAUUGAGAUAACUUUUUACAUCAGUGACGUUUGCUUAAUGAUGGUAGCCCUUCCCGACACUGAUGAGGUUGUCCGCCCGAUUGAGAUGGCCUGUCCCGUGCUAGUGCUUGUACUCUGUAC